GGGGAGCUACAUCUAUUGUGUACAGAUGCAGGCAGAAGGGAACACAGAAACCCUAUGCUGUCAAAAUCUUGAAGAAAACUGCUUUGCCUGCUGAGGAGCUCUGUGUUACUCUAAAGAAGUUGUUCCAAGAACAGGUAGACAAGAAGAUUGUUCGAACAGAAAUAGGAGUUCUACUUCGACUUUCACAUCCAAAUAUUAUAAAACUGAAGGAGAUAUUUGAAACUCCCACAGAAAUCAGCCUUGUCUUGGAGUUGGUCACGGGAGGAGAACUGUUUGACAGGAUUGUGGAAAAGGGAUAUUACAGUGAGCGAGAUGCCGCUGAUGCUGUGAAACAAAUCCUGGAGGCAGUUGCAG
Molecule: long non-coding RNA, 354 nt
Organism: Euleptes europaea (tarantolino)
Lineage: Eukaryota; Metazoa; Chordata; Lepidosauria; Squamata; Sphaerodactylidae
Exons: 5
Source: RefSeq, a predicted model, not a curated record